UCAGAAAUUUCCUCCAAAACUCUGUGGUAGAAAUCGCCUAAGAAAGAAACGGAUAUAAGAAUUAUUUUGAUGUUAGAUUAACAGAACUGUGUAUUAAAAUGAACUAAAAUUAGCUGCAAUAUGAAGCUUAAAAUGAACUAAAAUCAGCUGUAACAUGAAGCUUAAAUGAACUAAAAUCAGCUGCUAUAUGAAGCUUAAAGUGAACUAAUUAAAUCAGCUGCAACAUGAAGCUUUUAAAAUAAACUAAAAUCAGCUGCAAUAUGAAGCUUAAAAUUAACUCUAAAAUAAACUAAAAUCAGCAUAUGAAGUUUGAAAUGAACUCAAAUCAGCUGUAAUAUGAAGCUUAAAAUGAACUCUAAAAUGAACUAAAAUCAACUGCAGUGCGACAAACCCAAUCAGCUGAGAAUACGAUUGUUGAAACGACAUUGCUGAGCUCUGCAAAUUUCCUUCAAAAUGAAGCUUAAUAUCAACUGCAAUUAGCCCAGAAUAAAAUUGUGUGGUAGAAAUCGCCUAAGAAAGAAACGGAGAAGAAGAAUUAUAAUAAGCAAACAGAGAUGAAACAAAUGAUAGAUCUCAGCUAGCUCUGUGCUGUACCUCUCGUGGCACAAGUCGACGGCGGCGGCGGCAGCUGGUUUUGAUUUUGAUACAAUUUCAGAAACAUUCAAGAAUUUUAGUAAAUGAUUUGAAAAGAUGUGUAUAAUGCUAAUGGUAAAAUGGAUGUAUUGAUGAUUUUGAAGGCAAAUUAACGUGUGGAAGAAUAGUUAAAGGAGCGAGAAACAAAGCAACGGAAGAUUAAUUAUGAAGAUUGAGCAAUCAAGCAGUUGAACAGUUGAUCAAACGUGUUACGAUUGGAUUCACUCCUUUAGUUGUAUUGAUAAGAUAAGAUUGCUAC
RNAcentral lists this long non-coding RNA (892 nucleotides) under Salvia miltiorrhiza (redroot sage). Its description in RNAcentral is "long non-coding RNA (SMIL_LNC008065)". Lineage: Eukaryota; Viridiplantae; Streptophyta; Magnoliopsida; Lamiales; Lamiaceae. The record is from RNAcentral.